This 253-nucleotide ribosomal RNA is filed under the name uncultured bacterium. RNAcentral's name for it is "partial 16S ribosomal RNA". It matches the Rfam family "Bacterial small subunit ribosomal RNA", at positions 524 to 776 of the family's 1533-position model. The record is from RNAcentral.
UACGUAGGUGGCAAGCGUUGUCCGGAAUUAUUGGGCGUAAAGCGCGCGCAGGCGGUCCUUUAAGUCUGAUGUGAAAGCCCACGGCUCAACCGUGGAGGGUCAUUGGAAACUGGGGGACUUGAGUGCAGAAGAGGAGAGUGGAAUUCCACGUGUAGCGGUGAAAUGCGUAGAGAUGUGGAGGAACACCAGUGGCGAAGGCGACUCUCUGGUCUGUAACUGACGCCGAGGCGCGAAAGCGUGGGGAGCAAACAGG